AUUAGAGUUUGAUCCUGGCUCAGGAUGAGCGCUGGCGGCGUGCUUAACACAUGCAAGUCGAACGAUGAUCUCCAGCUUGCUGGGGGGAUUAGUGACGAACGGGUGAGUAACACGUGAGUAACCUGCCCUUGACUCUGGGAUAAGCCUGGGAAACUGGGUCUAAUACCGGAUACGACCGCUCCACGCAUGUGGUGGUGGUGGAAAGCUUUUGCGGUUUUGGAUGGACUCGCGGCCUAUCAGCUUGUUGGUGGGGUAAUGGCCUACCAAGGCGACGACGGGUAGCCGGCCUGAGAGGGUGACCGGCCACACUGGGACUGAGACACGGCCCAGACUCCUACGGGAGGCAGCAGUGGGGAAUAUUGCACAAUGGGCGGAAGCCUGAUGCAGCGACGCCGCGUGAGGGAUGACGGCCUUCGGGUUGUAAACCUCUUUCAGUAGGGAAGAAGCGUAAGUGACGGUACCUGCAGAAGAAGCGCCGGCUAACUACGUGCCAGCAGCCGCGGUAAUACGUAGGGCGCAAGCGUUAUCCGGAAUUAUUGGGCGUAAAGAGCUCGUAGGCGGUUUGUCGCGUCUGCUGUGAAAGACCGGGGCUCAACUCCGGUUCUGCAGUGGGUACGGGCAGACUAGAGUGAUGUAGGGGAGACUGGAAUUCCUGGUGUAGCGGUGAAAUGCGCAGAUAUCAGGAGGAGCACCGAUGGCGAAGGCAGGUCUCUGGGCAUUAACUGACGCUGAGGAGCGAAAGCAUGGGGAGCGAACAGGAUUAGAUACCCUGGUAGUCCAUGCCGUAAACGUUGGGCACUAGGUGUGGGGGACAUUCCACGUUUUCCGCGCCGUAGCUAACGCAUUAAGUGCCCGCCUGGGGAGUACGGCCGCAAGGCUAAACUCAAGGAAUUGACGGGG
Molecule: ribosomal RNA, 900 nt
Filed under: bacterium C03(2010)
Lineage: Bacteria
Description: bacterial SSU rRNA
Rfam family: Bacterial small subunit ribosomal RNA
Source: RNAcentral